RNAcentral lists this ribosomal RNA (305 nucleotides) under uncultured bacterium. RNAcentral's name for it is "bacterial SSU rRNA". It matches the Rfam family "Bacterial small subunit ribosomal RNA", at positions 334 to 654 of the family's 1533-position model. The record is from RNAcentral.
UGGUCCUACGGGAGGCAGCAGUGGGGGAUAUUGGACAAUGGGGGGAACCCUGACCCAGCAACGCCGCGUGAAGGAAGAAGGCUUUCGGGUUGUAAACUUCUUUUAAGGGGGAAGAGCAGAAGACGGUACCCCUUGAAUAAGCCACGGCUAACUACGUGCCAGCAGCCGCGGUAAUACGUAGGUGGCAAGCGUUGUCCGGAUUUACUGGGUGUAAAGGGCGUGCAGCCGGAGAGGCAAGUCAGAUGUGAAAUCCGCGGGCUCAACUCGCGAACUGCAUUUGAAACUGCUUCCCUUGAGUAUCGGAG